This 78-nucleotide ribosomal RNA is filed under the name Panagrolaimus paetzoldi. RNAcentral's name for it is "partial 28S ribosomal RNA". It matches the Rfam family "Eukaryotic large subunit ribosomal RNA", at positions 1 to 77 of the family's 3401-position model. The record is from RNAcentral. Lineage: Eukaryota; Metazoa; Nematoda; Chromadorea; Rhabditida; Panagrolaimidae.
AUGAACUCUAUUCAAAUAUGAUCACUCGCUGAACUUAAGCAUAUCAGUAAGCGAAGGAAAAGAAACCAACAGGGAUUA